Molecule: ribosomal RNA, 429 nt
Filed under: Chloroflexota bacterium
Lineage: Bacteria; Bacillati; Chloroflexota
Description: Chloroflexi bacterium partial 16S ribosomal RNA
Rfam family: Bacterial small subunit ribosomal RNA
Source: RNAcentral
UGGGGAAUAUUGCACAAUGGGCGCAAGCCUGAUGCAGCCAUGCCGCGUGUAUGAAGAAGGCCUUCGGGUUGUAAAGUACUUUCAGUCGGGAGGAAGGUGUCAAGGUUAAUAACCUUGGCAAUUGACGUUACCGACAGAAGAAGCACCGGCUAACUCCGUGCCAGCAGCCGCGGUAAUACGGAGGGUGCAAGCGUUAAUCGGAAUUACUGGGCGUAAAGCGCACGCAGGCGGUUGAUUGAGUCAGAUGUGAAAUCCCCGGGCUUAACCCGGGGAUUGCAUCUGAUACUGGUGAGCUGGAGUCUUGGGGAGGGGGGUAGAAUUCCAUGUGUAGCGGUGAAAUGCGUAGAGAUGUGGAGGAAUGCCGGUGGCGAGGGCGGCCCCCUGGACAAAGGCUGACGCUCAGGUGCGAAAGCGUGGGGAGCAAACAGG